GACGAACCGUACGAACGUUAUUCGGAAUCACUGGGCUUAAAGGGUGCGUAGGCGGCGCGGAAAGUUGGGUGUGAAAUCCCUCGGCUUAACCGAGGAACUGCGCUCAAAACUACCGUGCUCGAGGGAGACAGAGGUGAGCGGAACUUAGGGUGGAGCGGUGAAAUGCGUUGAUAUCCUAAGGAACACCGGUGGCGAAAGCGGCUCACUGGGUCUCUUCUGACGCUGAGGCAAGAAAGCUAGGGGAGCGAACGGG
This 253-nucleotide ribosomal RNA is filed under the name uncultured bacterium. Its description in RNAcentral is "partial 16S ribosomal RNA". It matches the Rfam family "Bacterial small subunit ribosomal RNA", at positions 524 to 776 of the family's 1533-position model. The record is from RNAcentral.